This 492-nucleotide ribosomal RNA is filed under the name uncultured bacterium. Its description in RNAcentral is "partial 16S ribosomal RNA". It matches the Rfam family "Bacterial small subunit ribosomal RNA", at positions 29 to 507 of the family's 1533-position model. The record is from RNAcentral.
AGUGAACGCUGGCGGUAGGCCUAACACAUGCAAGUCGAACGGCAGCACAGUAGGAGCUUGCUCUUACGGGUGGCGAGUGGCGGACGGGUGAGGAAUACAUCGGAAUCUACUUUUUCGUGGGGGAUAACGUAGGGAAACUUACGCUAAUACCGCAUACGACCUACGGGUGAAAGCAGGGGAUCUUCGGACCUUGCGCGAUUGAAUGAGCCGAUGUCGGAUUAGCUAGUUGGCGGGGUAAAGGCCCACCAAGGCGACGAUCCGUAGCUGGUCUGAGAGGAUGAUCAGCCACACUGGAACUGAGACACGGUCCAGACUCCUACGGGAGGCAGCAGUGGGGAAUAUUGGACAAUGGGCGCAAGCCUGAUCCAGCCAUACCGCGUGGGUGAAGAAGGUCUUCGGGUUGUAAAGCCCUUUUGUUGGGAAAGAAAAGCAGCAGGUUAAUACCCCGCUGUUCUGACGGUACCCAAAGAAUAAGCACCGGCUAACUUCGUG